CAAGAGUGACCCUGAUAUCCCAAGCAUCCAACGUUUCCAAGCUUGAAUCCAACACGAGCGAUUCCACACUCAAGUUGGUAUCCCUAGUUACAAUUUCGGGUUGGUGGUCUUCUCUCUUUAAAGAGAAAAUAUUUCAAGUGUUAUAAACUCAUAAUAUUCAUCAAAAUCUAACUAAUGAAACCUUACGUUAUUCUAUUUAUAGUGUAUUACAAAUAACAGGUAAAAUGACCAAAAGACCCCUUAGUGAAGCGGCACCCCUCUAGUGUAUGUAGUGGACUGAUUUGGCCCUUUUAGUGUAUGUAGUGGACUAUUUUUGUGUCCAUUUAGGUGCUCCUUUGCACUUCAUUGAACACACCAAACCUCAGGUCUUACGUACGCCCUCAUAAGUCUAUCUACGUGAUCGUACUCAUACCAUCCUCCCCUUCUUGAAAAGGAUUCGACCUCGAAUUCGUACCUUGCAAAUUCAAAGAGAAAACAAACAAGUACACAUUCUCAUGGCAUGAGGGUUAGGGUUAGCAAAAUAAAUAAUUAGCACUAUCAUGCCACGGUGGUAUACACUUGAAGUACAACCAAGGAUACUUUGUGUUAAUUAUGAAAAACUUUUGUACAACAUCACAAACGAAAAGGCUCGGAUGAACAUCAAGAAUUAAGGGACAAAAAUCGAGACUACGCCUCUCAUACGAUGUAUAUAUAACAACAUCAUGAACAUCAUCAUAUGCAUAUAGGUAGUGAAGAAAGGCACCAAAGACACAAUUCUCAUCUAAGAUGUAUUCACAAGUAGGAACACACAAUGAGAGAAAGGGACAUUGCAAGCACGUAGGAUGUCUCUCCUUCCAACCACUUACCGAAGGAAGACAUUCCAUCAAGGAAGUCAUACCAAUAGGGAGAAUAGGGAAACUACCAUGCAAGACUCCAAUCUAAGGUAAGUAGUUUGCCUAAGAACUCGGGUUUCCUCUACAAAUGAUGUGAAGCACUCUCCCAAGAGUCCCCCAAGAUACUUCAACUUGUCCAACCCCAUGAAGGUGAUAAGAAGUCUUUAACAUCCUUGGACCCUUCCACAAACAAGAAUACAACUUGGCAUCCUCAAAUUGUGGUUCACAUAACUUAAAUAAAAGUGUGUCAAACAUGGAUGCACAGAUAUGAGCAACACCCCAAAGAGACCAUGACAUAUUUGCCCUACGGUUCUCAAGUAGACAUAAACCACCAUUAACAUCAAAGAGAUCACAAUUCAAGUCACCAUAUUUGUCAAACAUGGGUGAGGUGUCAUGCAAAGGAGUACAAGCAAAAUCAUUUUUCAAUGAUAUGUCAAGCACAUGAUUAACCCUAUGAGCCAAGCAAACAUUAGAAUCUUUACAACAAUAUAGGCUCACGGGUUCACUCCUUUGUCCUUGACCACAUCUUCAAAUUCUUCACUCACUUGAGAUUCAUUAAUCACAUCCUACAUAUUCUCAAGUGGUGGGAAAGUUUUACACACAAGUUGAUCAACACAAUUUUCACAUGACGAUGUACUUUCAUUCAACACAAUAGCUUCAACACUAGAUGGACACAAAUUGAAUUACUAGAAGAGUCAAUUCGGUCAUCUAUAGGAUCAAAUAGUGUAUCCAUUCACACAACAUGUACAUCAUCCACAAGUGUCAAAGAAUCAAUAUACUCAUAUGUAGGUAAGCUACUACUCACACUCAACGGCUUAUUAGUCACAUGUUCAUCAUUCACAUGUACCAAAGUAUACGAGUUAGCUAUUUUACCUUGACAUUCAUGAGUAUGUUCGUCUUUACCUCGAUGUGAAAGUCCUUCACAAGUUUGGGAAAAAACUUCCUUUGGGAAGCUCUCACCGCAAGGUGUUUGGACCUUAGGUUUUGGAUUUGUUGGGAUAAGUGUGGAUACCAUUGGCGUAGCCUUUCAACGUGCCCUUUCAUGUCUUCAAUAUUGUCAGUGAUGCGGUCAAAUGUGGCAUCUUGGUGGCAGCCAUGGUACCUAAAAUAAAAGACAACAACGAACAACAAAACAACAAACUUGUUAGCUCAAGAAUGCUUCACCACACUCUCACUCUCGAUUUUUACCUCACACUUGGUUUCACAAGUGUUGAAAGUCGGCUUGUACUUCGCGUGUGAUUGAGGGUCGAGUCUAGUCUUGUCCGGAAUAGAUUUUUGUUUGAGUUGACUCAAAGAAAAUUUGUUUACAGACUUGAACCAACAAGAUACAACGAAUUCACAAAAGAUAAAAGCACACAAUAAAUGUAGACAUGAACAAACGAACUCUACAACUAACUUACAAUCUAGUAGGAGAUUACUAGUUUGUUAAUUAGUGUUCGAACCAACAAACGGAACUAAGACACAAUAAAAUGAAACUAAGAAAUUUGAAAUUGAGCUUAAAAAUUAUCGGUGAACUGUAAAAAUGUGAUGUGGCAGCCACGUAUUGGUUGCGGUUGUUAUCAAAUUUUAUUUUCUAAUUCAAGUCUUGGUCCAAUUGUAAUUUGGAAUUGGUGGGAAUUGGUUAAGGAGAGAAAACAAGUCUUGAAAUCCUCUUUCAAAUUCAAAAAGCAAGACUUAACUUUUCUCCUCAAGACAUGCUCCUUAAAUCAUGGAAGGUUGUUGGAAAAGUGGCUGUUAAAGUACUUGAGUGGUUGGAAUUGGUUGUAAAAGUCUUGAGAGGUCUUAAAUUUUGGAAAUAUGUCUUUCAAGACUAACAAAAUACACACUCUCUUUCUUCAACUUCCAAGAUCAAAUAUCCAUAUUUUCUUCAACAAUAGAUGAAGAUGUGAAGAACACCAAGAACACAUUUUUUUGAAUUUUGAAGUUUUAAGGUUCACGUUGGACCCCAAACAUCAAUAAUACCUUUCCAAGCUUAAAAAUACAACACAAUAACCACCAUACACAUUCAAAUCUUGAACCAACAACGCACCACACGUCCAAGAUUUGAAUCCACAACAAUAAUACCAACAACAAUCACACGACCAAAGUUUAGGUUCACAACAACAACAUCCACAAUUAAAGCUCAAAUCUAGAUCUAGACUUCUUUAGUGUUAGAGGUGAAGAAGCUAGCACUAGAAACAACAAAACAAAUAAAAUGACUUCUAGAUCUAGACUCAAAACAAGAAAAAUCUCGCCCAAGACAUAACAAGAACACAAUUUUGGCCAAGACACAAAAAUGGACAGAUUUGCUUCUUUUUGAAAUUUUUAGAUUUCAACUUUUUUUUUUUUUGAAUUUUCUAACAAGCAAGCCCAAGAUUGAUCUUGUUGGAACAAGAUCUAUCCAUGCUUUGAUACCAAAUGAUACAAGAAAGACAAGAAAACAUGAAACAAACACCAAAAUCAGUCCACUAGCCAAGAAAUCGAGGACCACUUUUGGUGACCCCUCUCAGAUUUGCUACCAAGAAGAAGAAUACAAAAUACAAUGGCGUAAUAACACCAAAAUAGUAGCAACACAACAAGAACAAGAUGAACAAUAGACUAAUUUUGGAUUCCACAUUAACAACACAAACACACGGUUACAACAUCAACACUACUACAGGAUUACAAAGAAACAAAAAGAUAGAUAGUUAGACAAAUUGAAGGUAUAAUAUUAACAACCCAAAGGCCUAUUCCACUCUUGGACCUUUAGCAUCACACACACCAAUUACCUAACUCUUACGUUGGCACAAGAGUGACCCCGAUCUCCCAAGAAUCCAACGUUUCCAAGCUUGAAUCCAACAUGAGCGAUUCUACACUCAAGUUGAUUUACCUAGUUACAAUUCGGGUUGGUGGUAUUCUCUCCUUAGAGAGAAAAUAUUUCAAGUGUUAUAAACUUAUAAUAUUCAUCAAAAUAUAACUAAUAAAACCCUACAUUAUUCUAUUUAUAGUGCAUUACAAAUAAUAGGUAAAAUGACCAAAAGGCCCCUUAGUGAAGGGGCACCCCUCUAGUGUAUGUAGUGGACUGAUUUGGCCCUUUUAGUGUAUGUAGUGGACUAUUUUUGUGUCCAUUUAGGUGCUCCUUUGCACUUCAUUGAACACACCAAGCCUCGGGUCUAACGUAAGCCCUCAUAAGUCCAUCUACGUAAUCGUACGCGUAUCACAAUCCCGAUCUCCAUAUUUUCGGAUUUUUCAGUGAGUGUGUGUGUGUGCGAUUUGUGCGUGAAUCUGUGUGUUGAGAGUGAAGAUCUGUGAGGUGUUGUGAAUAUGACGUCUCUGUGUGUGUGUGAAUUAUUGAUGGUGAGUGUUUCUGUGUAAGGUGUAUAUGUGUAUUCUGUUGAUGGAAUUCGGUUUGUGAGUGUACGUAUAUUGUGAAGAGGACAGAAAAAAUGGCUUCUCCGUAUAUGCGUAUGUGAUGAAGAAAAGAGAAACCAAUUCUCCUUCCAGUGGUGUUGCGUACUGUGUGUAUCUGUAUCCUCCCCUUUGAAUAAUCUCUCCCUUCUGUAUAUAUCCCUUAUGCAAAAAUGAAAAAAAAAUCAAGAUUGUAUGUGUUUUCCUGGGAAUUUUUGUGGGUCCCCCUUUGGAAUUG
This 4476-nucleotide long non-coding RNA is filed under the name Capsicum annuum. Its description in RNAcentral is "long non-coding RNA (CANN_LNC012355)". Lineage: Eukaryota; Viridiplantae; Streptophyta; Magnoliopsida; Solanales; Solanaceae. The record is from RNAcentral.